AGCAGCCGCGGUAAUUCCAGCUCCAAUAGCGUAUAUUAAAGUUGCUGCAGCUAAAAAGCUCGUAGUUGAAUUUCGGGGUCAAUAUGUUGGUCGUGCCUUGGUACGUACUAGCUUAUUGAUUUCUCCUUUCUGACGAACCAUGAUGUCAUUAAUUUGGUGUCAUGGGGAAUCAGGACUGUUACUUUGAAAAAAUUAGAGUGUUUAAAGCAGGCUCGCGCUUGAAUACAUUAGCAUGGAAUAAUGAAAUAGGACAUUUGAUUCUAUUUUGUUGGUUUCUAGGAUCGAUGUAAUGAUUAAUAGGGAUAGUUGGGGGCAUUAGUAUUCAAUUGUCAGAGGUGAAAUUCUUGGAUUAUUGAAGACUAACUACUGCGAAAGCAUUUGCCAAGGAUGUUUUCAUUUAAUCAAAAACGAAAGUUAGGGGGAUCAAAGAACGAUCAGAUACCGUCGUAGUCUUAACCAUAAACUAUGCCGACUAGGGAUCGGAUGAUGUUAAUUUUUUAAUGACUCAUUCGGCGCCUUA
Molecule: ribosomal RNA, 520 nt
Filed under: uncultured Glomus
Lineage: Eukaryota; Fungi; Glomeromycota; Glomeromycetes; Glomerales; Glomeraceae
Description: SSU rRNA
Rfam family: Eukaryotic small subunit ribosomal RNA
Source: RNAcentral